This 123-nucleotide ribosomal RNA is filed under the name Enterobacter cloacae. Its description in RNAcentral is "partial 23S ribosomal RNA". It matches the Rfam family "Bacterial large subunit ribosomal RNA", at positions 2812 to 2925 of the family's 2925-position model. The record is from RNAcentral. Lineage: Bacteria; Pseudomonadati; Pseudomonadota; Gammaproteobacteria; Enterobacterales; Enterobacteriaceae.
UCCUUGAGAGUCCUGAAGGAACGUUGAAGACGACGACGUUGAUAGGUCGGGUGUGUAAGCGCAGCGAUGCGUUGAGCUAACCGAUACUAAUGAACCGUGAGGCUUAACCUUACAACGCCGAAG